GAAAUGCUGCCACCUAGCAAUAAAUAGAAAAAACAAGACCAGACAAAGAAAAGACUUACACGGAAGUGACGGAAAAACAAACGAACAACAAGUAAACACUAACAUGGCGGCGAGGUGUGAAGUGUCUGCGGGAUUCUUGAGAUUUGUCGUGCUACCAGACUCACUUGUGAGUUGUGACUUAUUAUCCUAGCACCGAACAACUCCAAAGGUGUUAUUUUCUCCAGUCUUUCAGUUACAAGGCCUAGAAAAGCGUCAAGUGCAACAUGUGAUUAGCAGCAAGAGUUGGAAUGAAGAGGAAUUGGCCUACAAGUAAAUACGCUUUGAAGCCAUUCAUUUUCUUCUCUUGGUACAGAAUUGAUUCAUAAAAUGACUUAAGAAAGGCUGUGCAAAGUCUUAGCUCUUUGUCCAUGUUCACGGUUCUUAUCGUGUGGCCCGAGUUUGAGCAAUCCUUUUUGUUGUGUGCUGUAGUAUGAGAAAACAGGAAAGAUAGAUAACUGUAAUUAAAAUGUACCACUAAUGUUCACAAAUCCCUUUAAAAUUUAGUUGAACACCCUGACGACAAGGAUGUUUGAGGGGGGGAGUUUGAGGGGCUCACAAAUGACAUGACUUUUGCACUGAAGCAUGCAUCCUAUUGAAAAUUAGACUUUAGUGGACGUAGAUGACCGAGUGGUCAACGCGUCGAGAAUUUGAGAAUUAGCGGCUAAUUUGUUGUUGAUUUCAAGGUGAAUAUGGCGUGUAUAUCGUUUCUGACGGUUCUUCACGCCCAUAUCGCUUCAAAAUCAAGGCGCCAGGUUUCGCCCAUCUGGCUGCGUUGGAGAAAGUCGGCCGCAACCAUGCUCGCCGAUAUUGUUGCCGUCAUUGGUACACUGGAUGUGGUUUUUGGAGAAAUUGAUCGCUGAAUGUGUUCCACGCCCUCUUGAUCUCCACACCGGUGACUUGAAAAACUGGAAAUGGAGUUGUAUAUGUAAAGCCGAGUUGAAUUAGGUGAUUAUAUAAUACACAUACAGUGGUUGAAAUG
Long non-coding RNA from Daphnia pulex (common water flea), 1018 nucleotides. RefSeq lists it as uncharacterized. NCBI's taxonomy places the organism in Eukaryota, Metazoa, Arthropoda, Branchiopoda, Diplostraca, Daphniidae. The transcript has 2 exons. The record is from RefSeq and is a predicted model, not a curated record.